Molecule: long non-coding RNA, 376 nt
Filed under: Bemisia tabaci
Lineage: Eukaryota; Metazoa; Arthropoda; Insecta; Hemiptera; Aleyrodidae
Description: lncRNA ENSSSA2NGG002726
Source: RNAcentral
GAAAAUGGUGGUAAAGAUGGCAAUAGUGAUAAAGGAGACUCAGAGGACUCACUAUCGAUAGAAUUGAGCUCAGAUGAAAAUGAAUACAUCAACAUUAAAAAUGACGAUUUAUUCUUGAGCGGAGACGAUGAUGUGGCAGCACCAUGCCCUCCUAGUAUCAAAUCAGUGUCUAGCAAAGCAAUCAGUUUGAAAGCCAAUGACCCAAGAAGUUCAAGGCGUCAUUCAGGUUCAAAAGAAACUCUCUCCAAGAGAGGUCGAUCUCCAGGACCCUCAGGAUCAACAUCUGGUGUCAGGGACGAUCAUAGGAGAGUGGUUUUAGACCGUUCUAAAGAACCCUCAAGGCGAGAUACAGAGCGUACAAAAUCGGACGCAAACU